GUACUUGCUUUGGCGGCACAUACACUAAAAUUGGAAUGAUACAGAAAAAAAUUAGCAUGGACCCUGAGCAAGAAUGACAUGCAAAUUCAUCAAGUAGCCCCCCCCUUCU
This is a small nuclear RNA of Jaculus jaculus (lesser Egyptian jerboa), 109 nucleotides long. NCBI's taxonomy places the organism in Eukaryota, Metazoa, Chordata, Mammalia, Rodentia, Dipodidae. The record is from Ensembl.